GCCAAAUCCGAAGAUAUUAAUUUAGAGAGCAUAGCUGUUGAUAUUGUAACACUCCAGGUUUCACAAACAACCCGGUAUGCUACUGUACUACACUUCCGACGUCCAUAUAUAAAAUUUCGGCAGCAUCCCCUUUGCAAGAUUGCAUAAAAGAGGGAGCAACAGAGUAUAAACAUAUAUCAUGACUAAAACAUACUAAGUAUUAUUACUCGGCUAGCAAGGAAAGAUAAACAUACGACCUGAACUGAAUUAACUAGUGCGCACGACCAUAUAAAAAAAAUAAACAAACUUCCUUUGACAAUAAGUUUCUAAUUAAAUCAUGGUUGCGCCUGGGCAGCGUUAUUGUGAGAGUGAAAGUGGACGUGCUGCUACUCCCCACAUUCCCAACAUGUAUCAAGUACCUGCAUUGAGUAAUGCAAGAGUGAGAUGACACAUCUCAGCAAGUAAAAUAAUAUCAAACAGUUUAACCACAUAAGAACAUUGUUUUACCACCACUUAAUUCCACAACCUUCUUAUUACGAAGGUCCAGCACGUAUACAACGUACAACGCACCUAGUUACCACACCUCACAGGUAGAAACCACAAUAGUAACAUAGUAAUGUCACACUUCAUAUAUUCCUCAUGAGUGCAAAUGUCUGCAAAUGCAAGGAUGACUUCUGCCUUCAUACCUCUAAGGAUAUGCAGCCGCAUCGUACCCCUCCUCGGGCAACGUACGAUGCUAAAAAUGUACCGGUACGGUCGGACCAUAAGAUCACGACAUAACUUCAAAAUGCAAGAUGGAUGAUGCGAUGUGCAUGUCAUGCCUACAACACUUCAUAUAACAUGAUUCAAAAAGACACUUCAACUUCAUCCAGAUGGGAAUCAACCACAUAUAUCAUUACCAAAUUAUGAUCAUCCACAAUAUUAGACAAUUGAGAAUUAAUACUUCCAAACAAAUAAACUUCAUCAUAGAAUUCAAUGAUUAACAUAAUUAAAAAUUAUGCAUACUCAAUGACAGGGACUAGGAUGCAAACCAAACGGUAGCAACCACCACUGUAUUUACUUGCCUUUACCGGAAGUUCGGGCAAAUCCCUAAGUACGAUCCGGAAGUCUACCACCUGUUUUUGACACCCAACUUAGUACACCAAUUUCACAUAAUCAGGCUCAUAAGCGACGCCGCACCUACGCACAAACUCAAACCCCGCCGCGGGUUACAUCUCUACCUACACCCACCAAACUGCAGCGGCGCUGCUUAAUAAUUUCAUAACUUUAAAAUUAUGGCAGCAGUGGUAACAAACAAAAACUCCAGAGGCAUCUACAUAAAAUUCUCCACAAGUUUUGUAUACAAUUUAUAAUUAAAUUCCAAUAUCUAAUUAGCCCAAAACAGUCCACAAGAUGAACCCUGUAAUCUGUUUUUCUUUGUCUUUUGGACAGCGACAUACCCAGAUUCAAACAGCGAUAUCUUUUAAAAUAUAAUUCCAAAUCAAGCGCAUAAGUACUCAUUGGAAAGAUAAGACAAAUCCCUACAUGAUUACCAUACUGGUUAACACUAAUUACCCACGAAAAAUUCCCAGAAACUGCUAAUACCACUGCUGUUCACCCACCUGAAAAAUCUGUUUUUUUGGACAGCAACAUAACCGGAUUCAAACAACGAUAUCUCCUGAAUUUUAACUCCGAAUCAAGCGCAUAAGUACUUGUUGGAAAGAUAACAUAAAGCCCUACAUGAUUCUCAUACUGAUUAACACUAAUUAUCCAAGAAAAAUUCCCGGAAACUGCUAAUACUGCUGCUGUUCAUCCCCCUGAAAAAUCUGUUUUUUUUGACAGCCACAUACCCGGAUUCAAACGGUGAUAACUUUCAAUUUAUAACUCCAAAUUGAGCGCAUAAAUACUCGUUGGAAAGGUAAGGUAAAGUUCUACAUGAUACCCAAACUGAUUUCCCUUAAUUCCUCACGAAAAAAACACAGAAACUGCUAGACUACUGCUGUUCACCCACCACCUAAAAUUCUGGACAGCCCCCCUCUACCCCAAUCGCAAACGCAACCUCUAAUCAAUUAAAUUGCAGCGCAAAUGAACAAGGGAUGAACACAAAAAUCACCUUGGAUUCUCCCCAUUUCCUUCCUCCCUUCUUCCCUCCACCAAAACGAUUGAAGACUCGCACCACGAAGACGAUGAUCCGAGCGGCAAGGAUUGGCACCUUGGGAGGAGGGGAUUGAGAGGGGGGGCGGCUAGGGUUUGGUGGCUGCAAGAAUUGAGAGAGGAGGAGAUGGGCAGGGGGGCGGCGGCCAAGGGGGAAGAGAAG
RNAcentral lists this long non-coding RNA (2275 nucleotides) under Zea mays. RNAcentral describes it as "long non-coding RNA (ZMAY_LNC000333)". The record is from RNAcentral. Lineage: Eukaryota; Viridiplantae; Streptophyta; Magnoliopsida; Poales; Poaceae.